This 600-nucleotide ribosomal RNA is filed under the name uncultured bacterium. RNAcentral's name for it is "bacterial SSU rRNA". It matches the Rfam family "Bacterial small subunit ribosomal RNA", at positions 138 to 770 of the family's 1533-position model. The record is from RNAcentral.
GGGGGAUAACUUUGGGAAACUGAAGCUAAUACCGCAUGACACCUGAGGGUCAAAGGCGCAAGUCGCCUGUGGAGGAACCUGCGUUCGAUUAGCUAGUUGGUGGGGUAAAGGCCUACCAAGGCGAUGAUCGAUAGCUGGUCUGAGAGGAUGAUCAGCCACACUGGGACUGAGACACGGCCCAGACUCCUACGGGAGGCAGCAGUGGGGAAUAUUGGACAAUGGGCGCAAGCCUGAUCCAGCAAUGCCGCGUGUGUGAAGAAGGUUUUCGGAUUGUAAAGCACUUUCAGCGGGGACGAUGAUGACGGUACCCGCAGAAGAAGCCCCGGCUAACUUCGUGCCAGCAGCCGCGGUAAUACGAAGGGGGCAAGCGUUGCUCGGAAUGACUGGGCGUAAAGGGCGCGUAGGCGGUUGACACAGUCAGGUGUGAAAUUCCCGGGCUUAACCUGGGGUCUGCAUUUGAUACGUGGCGACUAGAGUGUGAGAGAGGGUUGUGGAAUUCCCAGUGUACAGGUGAAAUUCGUAGAUAUUGGGAAGAACACCGGUGGCGAAGGCGUCAACCUGGCUCAUGACUGACGCUGAGGCGCGAAAGCUUGGGGAGCA